Long non-coding RNA from Siniperca chuatsi (mandarin fish), 359 nucleotides. RefSeq lists it as uncharacterized. The record is from RefSeq and is a predicted model, not a curated record. Lineage: Eukaryota; Metazoa; Chordata; Actinopteri; Centrarchiformes; Sinipercidae. The transcript has 2 exons.
AUUGAAUUGAAGUGAAUUGAUCAAGACAUCAGACAAAGAAGAAACAAACAAGCAGAAAAACAAAAAGAAAAGAAGGAGACUCAAAGCAAGUAACAGCAAACUACUGGACACUGAAAUCACGGACUACAGCGGAUUACAGCGGACUACAACGGACUACAGCGGACUACAGCGGAUUACAGCGGACUACAACGGACUACAGUGGACUACAGCGGAUUACAGCGGACUACAGCGGACUACAACGGACUACAGUGGACUACAACGGACUACAGCGGACUACAGCGGACUCGCCCGCUCUUGAAGAGUGCUUGUUCAACCUGUCAUUGCUUGCCGUAUUAUAAUAAAGACUGUCACUACUACUA